CCAACUGUUGUCGAACCGUCUGC
RNAcentral lists this non-coding RNA (23 nucleotides) under Arabidopsis thaliana (thale cress). The record is from RNAcentral. Lineage: Eukaryota; Viridiplantae; Streptophyta; Magnoliopsida; Brassicales; Brassicaceae.